AUUGAACGCUGGCGGCAUGCCUUACACAUGCAAGUCGAACGGUAACGGGCCUUCGGGUGCCGACGAGUGGCGAACGGGUGAGUAAUGUAUCGGAACGUACCUUUCAGUGGGGGAUAACGUAGCGAAAGUUACGCUAAUACCGCAUAUUCUGUGAGCAGGAAAGCAGGGGAUCGCAAGACCUUGCGCUGAUUGAGCGGCCGAUAUCAGAUUAGCGUAGUUGGUGAGGUAAAGGCUCACCAAGGCGACGAUCUGUAGCGGGUCUGAGAGGAUGAUCCGCCACACUGGAACUGAGACACGGUCCAGACUCCUACGGGAGGCAGCAGUGGGGAAUUUUGGACAAUGGGGGCAACCCUGAUCCAGCCAUGCCGCGUGAGUGAAGAAGGCCUUCGGGUUGUAAAGCUCUUUCGGCCGGGAAGAAAUCGUAUGGGUUAAUACCCUGUGCGGAUGACGGUACCGGCAUAAGAAGCACCGGCUAACUACGUG
Molecule: ribosomal RNA, 483 nt
Filed under: uncultured bacterium
Lineage: Bacteria
Description: bacterial SSU rRNA
Rfam family: Bacterial small subunit ribosomal RNA
Source: RNAcentral